UACAGAGGUCUCAAGCGUUGUUCGGAUUCAUUGGGCGUAAAGGGUGCGUAGGCGGCGCGGUAAGUCGGGUGUGAAAUCUCGGAGCUUAACUCCGAAACUGCAUUCGAUACUGCCGUGCUUGAGGACUGGAGAGGAGACUGGAAUUUACGGUGUAGCGGUGAAAUGCUUAGAUAUCGUCAAGAACACCUAUAGCGAAGGCAGCUUACUAAGCUUUAACUGACACUGAUGCACGAAAGUGUGGGGAUCAAACAGG
This 253-nucleotide ribosomal RNA is filed under the name uncultured bacterium. Its description in RNAcentral is "partial 16S ribosomal RNA". It matches the Rfam family "Bacterial small subunit ribosomal RNA", at positions 524 to 776 of the family's 1533-position model. The record is from RNAcentral.